Molecule: ribosomal RNA, 751 nt
Filed under: uncultured archaeon
Lineage: Archaea
Description: bacterial SSU rRNA
Rfam family: Archaeal small subunit ribosomal RNA
Source: RNAcentral
AGUCAACAUGCCCAGGGGACGUGGAUAACCUCGGGAAACUGAGGAUAAACCGCGAUAGGUCAUCACUUCUGGAAUGGGUAAUGACUUAAACCUAUAUGGCCCCUGGAUCGGACUGCGGCCGAUCAGGCUGUUGGUGAGGUAAUGGCCCACCAAACCUGUAACCGGUACGGGCUCUGAGAGGAGGAGCCCGGAGAUGGGCACUGAGACAAGGGCCCAGGCCCUAUGGGGCGCAGCAGGCGCGAAACCUCUGCAAUAGGCGAAAGCUUGACAGGGUUACUCUGAGUGAUUUCCGUUAAGGAGAUCUUUUGGCACCUCUAAAAAUGGUGCAGAAUAAGGGGUGGGCAAGUCUGGUGUCAGCCGCCGCGGUAAUACCAGCACCCCGAGUGGUCGGGACGUUUAUUGGGCCUAAAGCAUCCGUAGCCGGUUCUACAAGUCUUCCGUUAAAUCCACCUGCUUAACAGAUGGGCUGCGGAAGAUACUAUAGAGCUAGGAGGCGGGAGAGGCAAGCGGUACUCGAUGGGUAGGGGUAAAAUCCGUUGAUCCAUUGAAGACCACCAGUGGCGAAGGCGGCUUGCCAGAACGCGCUCGACGGUGAGGGAUGAAAGCUGGGGGAGCAAACCGGAUUAGAUACCCGGGUAGUCCCAGCUGUAAACGAUGCAGACUCGGUGAUGAAUUGGCUUAUUGCUAAUUCAGUGCCGCAGGGAAGCCGUUAAGUUUGCCGCCUGGGGAGUACGGUCGCAAGACUGAAACU